This 303-nucleotide ribosomal RNA is filed under the name uncultured bacterium. RNAcentral describes it as "partial 16S ribosomal RNA". It matches the Rfam family "Bacterial small subunit ribosomal RNA", at positions 507 to 807 of the family's 1533-position model. The record is from RNAcentral.
AGCAGUAGCCACGGGAACACGUAGGGUGCAAGCGUUAAUCGGAAUUACUGGGCGUAAAGCGUGCGCAGGCGGAUAUAUGAGUCAGAUGUGAAAUCCCAGAGCUCAACUCUGGAACUGCCUUUGAUACUGGGUAUCUUGAGUAUGGAAGAGGUGAGUGGAAUUCCGAGUGUAGAGGUGAAAUUCGUAGAUAUUCGGAGGAACACCAGUGGCGAAGGCGGCUCACUAGUCCAUUACUGACGCUGAGGUGCGAAAGCGUGGGGAGCAAACAGGAUUAGAUACCCCCGUAGUCCCUGUCUCUUAUAC